This 497-nucleotide ribosomal RNA is filed under the name uncultured bacterium. Its description in RNAcentral is "partial 16S ribosomal RNA". It matches the Rfam family "Bacterial small subunit ribosomal RNA", at positions 28 to 507 of the family's 1533-position model. The record is from RNAcentral.
GAUGAACGCUGGCGGCGUGCCUAAUACAUGCAAGUCGAGCGAACGGACGAGAAGCUUGCUUCUCUGAUGUUAGCGGCGGACGGGUGAGUAACACGUGGAUAACCUACCUAUAAGACUGGGAUAACUUCGGGAAACCGUAGCUAAUACCGGAUAAUAUUUUGAACCGCAUGGUUCAAAAGUGAAAGACGGUCUUGCUGUCACUUAUAGAUGGAUCCGCGCUGCAUUAGCUAGUUGGUAAGGUAAAGGAUUACCAAGGCAACGAUGCAUAGCCGACCUGAGAGGGUGAUCGGCUACACUGGAACUGAGACACGGUCCUGACUCCGACGGGAGGCAGCAGUAGGGAAUCUUCCGCUAUGGGCGAAUGCCUGACGGAGCAACGCCGCGUGAGUGAUGAAGGUCUUCGGAUCGUAAAACUCUGUUAUUAGUGAAGAACAUAUGUGUAAGUAACUGUGCACAUCUUGACGGUACCUAAUCAGAAAGCCACGGCUAACUACGUG